Molecule: transfer RNA, 76 nt
Filed under: Oxalobacter formigenes
Lineage: Bacteria; Pseudomonadati; Pseudomonadota; Betaproteobacteria; Burkholderiales; Oxalobacteraceae
Also listed under: 35 other names
Description: tRNA-Phe
Rfam family: tRNA
About the family: Transfer RNA (tRNA) molecules are approximately 80 nucleotides in length. Their secondary structure includes four short double-helical elements and three loops (D, anti-codon, and T loops).
Source: RNAcentral
GGCCUGGUAGCUCAGUUGGUAGAGCAGAGGACUGAAAAUCCUUGUGUCGGUGGUUCGAUUCCGCCCCGGGCCACCA